Molecule: long non-coding RNA, 394 nt
Organism: Sebastes umbrosus (honeycomb rockfish)
Lineage: Eukaryota; Metazoa; Chordata; Actinopteri; Perciformes; Sebastidae
Exons: 2
Source: RefSeq, a predicted model, not a curated record
AAUAGCACUAGUAACCGUAUUCAAUACCGUUCUACGGAUGAAGAGAUGUAUUCACUUUUUCAUCGUGGAAGACCGAAUGCAGGGAUGAGCCUCACAGGCCAGGCAGUUCCCGUUCAUCAGGCUAACUUUAACCAAAGUGGUCCAACAGCGCCCCUUCUCAGCGUUAAUACAGAGAGGAACACACCUUCAACUUCACAGAUGCCCCCCGCAGCAGCCCCUAUCUACAACCUUCGCCCGUUCACUCGAAGGGGCCCAAGGAACAAGAGGUUCCACGGACAGUUAAGCAGUUCUGUGGCUCAUCCCUUCACCAGAGAGGUAAUUCUCCUGCCAGACCAUACAUAUACAGAUGUGCCAAGGCGUGCCAGGAAAGCUUGGCUUUUUGAAAAUGGACAUA